RNAcentral lists this ribosomal RNA (406 nucleotides) under uncultured bacterium. RNAcentral describes it as "bacterial SSU rRNA". It matches the Rfam family "Bacterial small subunit ribosomal RNA", at positions 355 to 775 of the family's 1533-position model. The record is from RNAcentral.
UGGGGAAUAUUGGGCAAUGGGGGAAACCCUGACCCAGCAACGCCGCGUGAGGGAAGAAGGUUUUCGGAUUGUAAACCUCUGUCCUUGGUGAAGAAAAGAAUGACGGUAGCCAAGGAGGAAGCCCCGGCUAACUACGUGCCAGCAGCCGCGGUAAUACGUAGGGGGCGAGCGUUGUCCGAAAUGACUGGGCGUAAAGGGCGUGUAGGCGGCCGAUUAAGUCCGGAGUGAAAGUCCUGCUUUCAAGGUGGGAAUUGCUUUGGAAACUGGUAGGCUUGAGUGCGGAAGAGGUAAGUGGAAUUCCCAGUGUAGCGGUGAAAUGCGUAGAGAUUGGGAGGAACACCAGUGGCGAAGGCGACUUACUGGGCCGUAACUGACGCUGAGGCGCGAAAGCGUGGGGAGCGAACAG